This 460-nucleotide ribosomal RNA is filed under the name uncultured bacterium. Its description in RNAcentral is "partial 16S ribosomal RNA". It matches the Rfam family "Bacterial small subunit ribosomal RNA", at positions 338 to 795 of the family's 1533-position model. The record is from RNAcentral.
CCUACGGGUGGCAGCAGUGAGGAAUAUUGGUCAAUGGGCGUAAGCCUGAACCAGCCAAGUCGCGUGAGGGAUGAAGGUUCUAUGGAUCGUAACCCUCUUUUAUCAGGGAAUAAAGUGUGGGACGUGUCCUAUUUUGUAUGUACAUUAUGAAUAAGGAUCGGCUAACUCCGUGCCAGCAGCCGCGGUAAUACGGAGGAUCCGAGCGUUAUCCGGAUUUAUUGGGUUUAAAGGGUGCGUAGGCGGCUGUUUAAGUCAGCGGUGAAAGUCUGUGGCGCAACCAGAGAAUUGCAGUUGAAACUGGGGGGCUUGAGUAUUGUUGAGGCAGGCGGAAUGCGUGGUGUAGCGGUGAAAUGCUUAGAUAUCACGCAGAACCCCGAUUGCGAAGGCAGCCGGCCAAGCCAUGACUGACGCUGAUGCACGAAAGCGUGGGGAUCAAACAGGAUUAGAUACCCUUGUAGUC